CAGUGAGUGAAGUCAGUUUGCAGGCUCUGAUUCCCCCUCUCUUUCAUAUGCACACCCUCCCUCUCUCAUUUCACUUCUGACUCAGAGGACGGAUUUGGGAAAAGAAAAUUAGUGUAAUUAAAUGGCUAUGUAGGAAGCUGUUGACUAUUGAGUGACAGAGAUUUGUUCCCGGCAGAAAAUGCUUGAAACACAUUCGUCCGCCUUGGUAUUAAAGUGAUUACAGUGCACACUGUGAGAAUUGUGCACCAAGAUACACUAAAUCUGCAACCGUGAGGGUGGAUUUUAGGCUGGAUCUUUCAGAAGCACUCCCGGGAGCUGGAAAUCAAAGGGAGAUGGGUGUAUGUUGAGAAGGGAAGAUCAUCUGGAGAAAAGAGAGAUUCAAAAAAGAAGACUAGGAAAGAGGAUGAUGGGAAGGAAAGAGUGGAUGAACAACACAAAACAGGAUUUGGGCCAAUUAAGAAAAUGAAAUGUGGAAUAACAAAUACAAAAGUAGCAUCUAACUGAAUAUUGUAUGCUGAUGCCAACAAAGCACUCUAGUUAUGGACGGUACAAGAUGGUAGUGUUUUUCUUAACAAUAGUCAAAUAUUUUCUUUACACUUUGUAGAAAAAUUGUAGAACACAGUAAUUCCAACAGUUCUGUUAACCAAUAUAGACCAGAUUCUCUAUUCAUUUAUAGCUGAGUAAAUCUGGUGAAAUUCCAUUGUAAUCCUGGAUGUUGCCCUGGAAUUCCACAGGUGGGACAGAGUAGAAUUUGGACCUGUAUGUAUUUCAUUAAUGUGAAGCAAAUUUAAAAAAAAAAAAAUCUUUCGCUAUUCAGACAAGGUGUAUGACUUUAAAAUGAUGCUAGUGAUGACUGCUGUCUCUUUUCUUUUCUUUUUUCUGUAGACCAUCUUGUCUUGCACUUAUGGCCUGACAGAACUCAGCACCUUGCAAGAUUGGGCCCUUAGGUUACAAUAAAAAGUCUGCUUUUGCAAACCUGCUCAGCAGAACUGUCAUUUUAGACAGGACAGAGCAGUGGAGAAUACAACAUUAUGAAUACCGUGAUGAGUGAAUGGACUAGACAUCGUGGGCCAAAUUCAUGCAUGUGUAACUCCACUUUCUUCAGUAGAGUUACACUAGGGAUGAAUUUGGCCUAUUAGUUUUUUCUGCCCCCAACUCCUUUGUUGUAGAAGACAUUCAUUUUAAUUAGGGUUACCAUAUGUCUGGUUUUUCCCGGACAUGUC
Non-coding RNA from Chrysemys picta bellii (western painted turtle), 1223 nucleotides. Lineage: Eukaryota; Metazoa; Chordata; Testudines; Emydidae. The record is from RefSeq and is a predicted model, not a curated record.